Molecule: long non-coding RNA, 252 nt
Organism: Helianthus annuus (common sunflower)
Lineage: Eukaryota; Viridiplantae; Streptophyta; Magnoliopsida; Asterales; Asteraceae
Exons: 3
Source: RefSeq, a predicted model, not a curated record
GGGCAGGUCAUGCCGGGGUCUCUAUCGAUGAAAAGUGGUUUCUGGCUGGUGGUGGUGAUAAUAAAAACGGUGCUUCAGAGACAUUGGUGAUGGAUAUGCACAAGCUUGUUAUCUCGGUUUUGACGAAUGUAAAGGGAAGACACCCACUUGCCAGCGAGGGGCUCUCUGUGUCAUCAGCAUUCAUAGACGACGAUCACUUUUUGGUUGCUUUUGGGGGCUAUAAUGGAAAAUACAACAAUGAGGUAUUGUGAU